CCUCCCUGUUCUUUUAGCUCUCCAUCAUCUCUCCUCACUCGGAGCCGUCGACGUCCUCCGCCCUGUCGUAUUUCACCCCAAACCUAAUCUCUGGGUGCCGCCGCUGGCGAUAAUCUCAAGAGGUCAACUUGUGGAGAGCUAUUCAAAAUUAUGGGCAAACCUUAUUAUGUAAAAGUGUUAAAAGAUCUCUCUCGUUUAGAAUUUUGAAAUAUUAAGUUUAAUUUAUGAUGAUAUGAACUUGAGAUAAAUGGUUGAAGUUCUAAUUGUAUAAACUAUACAGGUUUUAUGGAUGUGAAUUUGAUUGAA
Molecule: long non-coding RNA, 306 nt
Organism: Musa acuminata AAA Group (dessert banana)
Lineage: Eukaryota; Viridiplantae; Streptophyta; Magnoliopsida; Zingiberales; Musaceae
Exons: 2
Source: RefSeq, a predicted model, not a curated record